CGAAAUCCAUAGGAAGUGGUUGGAUAAUAUAUAUUACCUAUAAAAUUUCGCCUCUCUUAAAUUGCGCGACAUUACAUGUCAAAUACGUUAUCACGAGAACGGUUAACUGUAUGUUGUUAAUCGACAAAACUAAGGUUACGAUACUACCGAAACAACGUCGUACCGGAGCGAAACUCGACCAGUCUUUAGAUCGAGGCAGAAUUGCAUGGACACGGUUUAAGCACGCGAUCACAAGCAAUCGAGAUCGGUAGAAGCAUCGCAACGCCGACGCCGACGCCGUUUUACCGAUGUCGACGUCGAGGUCGGCGUCGUCGGCGGUUCAGUGAAGGCCAGUCAUUCGCCCGCGUCGAACGCGCAUCCAAACCUAACCUCGUCGGGUGCUAAGAGGCCCUGGAGAAACUGUAUCGCCGCCAGCCAUCCUCCGUCCAACGGCCGUUAUCGUUGAUAUUCGUCAUCUUAUUGCUAAGUCAAGAUGUCACGGAUGGAGUUCAAAUAGAAAAAAAAAAAUGAGAAGAAUG
Molecule: long non-coding RNA, 518 nt
Organism: Apis florea (little honeybee)
Lineage: Eukaryota; Metazoa; Arthropoda; Insecta; Hymenoptera; Apidae
Gene: Root
Source: RefSeq, a predicted model, not a curated record